UAUUGGUCUGUCGCUGUUAACGUUUAGUGGGAAACACCAGAGUCGACGAUAUGUCGUUAGCUGUUUCACCGCAUCUCCAUCAUCCUCCGUCCACCGCGUACGCUAGUCGCCCGCUAUGUCGAGCUAGUGACGUUAGCGUUGCUUCAGGACAACCUGGGUGACAACAUCGCUGUUUCUUGCUAUUGCCAGAGCAGGCUCCCUUUCACUGCUAUUUCCUUGCCCAUGUUUAAAGAUGCAGUAAUUCUGGCCACUCAGGGGCAGCAGUAGGCCUACAAGCUGGAAACAAUGCUGACACAUGAAACACAAUAAUGCUUCUGUAAUUCCUGACCUUGAUGCUUCCUUGAGGAGACCGCAGCAGUCUCUGGGGAGCUUCCCAGUUUGCCAUUGACCACUUCAAAUGAACUUGAAAACCUUCCUUACAUAAAAGCUGCUGCGGAUCGAGACGCACCACAACAUCUUGCUUGGCGUCAGCUGUAGCGAGAAAACACACAGCCUUCUUGCUGGUGAGUUUGUGCAAAUCUGGCUUGCUGAAGGGUUGGAACUGAAGCUGGCAGUAUGUACAAGUCGGUGGCGUCAGAAUCUGUUUGCAGUUAACCAGUAAUGCAACAUUUUGAUUAGCAGGGUGUGGCGGGGUAAAAUGAUGGUUUCAUUUACCUGCGUGAAGGUACUAGUGUGCAUAGUGGAGGCCUGGAUGUGCAGCACCACCCUAUCCACCAGCGGUUUGGGACCGGUUACAAAACCUAUCCUCAGCCUAAAACACACAGACAAUUAGUAGUAGAAAGACAUACAGUACAUGCUGGUGAAGUUCUGCAUAAUGUGGCUCGGAAUAUAAAGUGACGUUUGCCGAUUCUAAUUCUGAUGUAGCUAUCCUGACGGAAAUUAAAGAAAAUUGUUUAAUAAAAAUAAGGCAGGUCAUUGACAGUCAGCACACAAUGUUCUAAUCUGGGGAGGUUUAAAUAUCUUGCCCUACGUCUCAGACUAGUCAAAGCUGCUAUGAUUAUGUCAAACAUCUGGUUUUUAAUGAUUUGGAUUUGGGAAAUGUGAGUGGCAUCUUAUAGUUUAAGAUGCUUAGGAUGUAAAUGUAAAAGGAAAUGUCUAUAAUGUGUUAAUAGGGGUUUUUAGGAAAGUUUUCAUAAUGUCCUCAAUGCAAGCUAAAGAAAACAAUAUGGUUUCCUAAAAACAAUCCAUCAGAUGUGACCAGUGGGGAUUACACAAGCAAAUAAAAUAAAAUACUAUACAAUAGACUGGGGGGGGGGGCGAAUCACCCUCCCAGUUUACAUAUCUGGUCCUGACUCGUUAAGGGAAGAGCACAAACACUGUGCUGUAGCAGAGUCAAAAUAACCUUAAAUGGCAACAGCAGAGCUUCAGAUGCACUGGGUUUAAACACACACACACACACACACCACCCACACAACACACACACACACACACACACACACACACACACACACACAGUCGUUUCGGAAGCUCACCCUGAAGACAGGAUCUUAGAGAAGGAGUCUGUCCUGAUGAUCCUCCCGUCGACAUCCAUGGAGAGAAACGUGGGAGCCCACGGCUGCCAAAUAGAUGAGACAUACAGGAACGUGAAUUCUUAUGUCAUCAAUUGAAUUGUUGACAUUCAUUUAUGGUUGUCCCAAAAGAUCAGAUCAUAAAGUAACCAAAAAAAAUGAGAAA
Molecule: long non-coding RNA, 1674 nt
Organism: Etheostoma spectabile (orangethroat darter)
Lineage: Eukaryota; Metazoa; Chordata; Actinopteri; Perciformes; Percidae
Exons: 4
Source: RefSeq, a predicted model, not a curated record